Molecule: long non-coding RNA, 749 nt
Organism: Tachysurus fulvidraco (yellow catfish)
Lineage: Eukaryota; Metazoa; Chordata; Actinopteri; Siluriformes; Bagridae
Exons: 4
Source: RefSeq, a predicted model, not a curated record
CCCUCUGCUAGAAAUAGGAAAAUGCUAUAAUAACACACACAUCACAAGAAAAAAAAUGAAGCAACUUUGAUCACGCAUGCUCCCUUUAACGUCCACCUCUUUUCCCCCCCACAACAUUUCUCCUAAGUUGGAAAGUGAAGGAAAGCCCCAGUGAAGUGCUGAACACAGUUAAACCAAUCAUUCGGGGAAAGCCAUCUCAUAUUUAAAAUGCCUGUGGUAUCAAGGUGAAGGGAUCUGCGGGCAGAGAUGUAAGUGUGUGCAGCUUUUCUCUAUGAAGACAGACUGAAAGACAGGAAGAGGACGUGAUCGACAGACAGAGCUCAAUCCAGCUUGUUGUGUCCAACAAGUCAUCAGGCUCGUUUAGAAGUGGAUAUGUACAGUGGAAGAGGUGCCCCCUGAGACUGAGGUCAUCUCCAUCUCCUCGUCCAAGGCCAGAAAGUAGGUUUGUGUGAAUGGACUUCUGCCAGUUGAGGUUGUUUCGGCUAAUGUAGGUUACGUGUCCAUUGUACAUCCCACAAGCUUCUUUUAAGUGAGUGCUGAGGCUGUGUAUUAGCAUGGCAUCCUGAGGUGCAAUGGUCACUUUUCUAUCCUUAGGCAGAAAAAUAACUUGGAAACAAUGUAAAAUGUGAGUUAUUGUUUAAGCAUAUAUAAUAUAGAACGUGGAUGAGAAAAAAAUUGUAAUCCGGACCGGAAUGCUUGUCCGUGUUUACAUGGGCCUUCUGUAAAUCAGUUUAUAGACACUACCCAUU